UUUGGAAGCAGUCGUAAGAAAGCCACAUUGCUGGUGGCUAUAGUGGCUUCUAACUAAGGAAGGCGGUUUGGGGAAAGGGAGAAGGAGCGGGUGGGGAAGGCAGAAGAAGGAGGGUUUGGAGAGGCUCAGGUUGAAGCAUUUGUAAGCACUCAUGACGCGACACAGGUAUUCAUGGCAGUUUCAGACGUGGCCCCACCAACCUGCCUGCCCUUGUUUUCUAUUGAAGCCUCCUAGUCAUCUUUCAUAUCGCUUCAUCAAAAGCACAGUGAGGAAGCAAGGCCUGGCUGCCACAGUGAUGAAGAUGACAGCCUUCAUGACCGUCCAACCAGCUUGGUGGCACUUUUCUCUGGUUGUCCACUCCCUUAUUCUCAGCUCUUCUACUUUUUCUCUUAAGAUGGCGUGUCAAUGGGAUGUCAGCCUGUCCUGCUGGCCAUCAGACAGAACAGUCCGUACCUCGUAAUACAAGAAUGUUCUGCCCUGUUGUACACCCAUUAAACUUCUAAGCACAGAACAGCAUUACGGCUUCCAGCCCUGGGAGAAGAUAAACCACUGACUUCAUUGCCAUUUGUUUCAAAAUUGACUCAUGUUACAGCCAUGAAAACAUU
This 605-nucleotide long non-coding RNA is filed under the name Phascolarctos cinereus (koala). Its description in RNAcentral is "lncRNA (ENSPCIG00000023176.2)". The record is from RNAcentral. Lineage: Eukaryota; Metazoa; Chordata; Mammalia; Diprotodontia; Phascolarctidae.